RNAcentral lists this ribosomal RNA (497 nucleotides) under uncultured bacterium. RNAcentral describes it as "partial 16S ribosomal RNA". It matches the Rfam family "Bacterial small subunit ribosomal RNA", at positions 28 to 507 of the family's 1533-position model. The record is from RNAcentral.
GAUGAACGCUGGCGGCGUGCCUAACACAUGCAAGUCGAACGAACAGACGAGGAGCUUGCGCCUCUGACGGUAGCGGCUGACGGGUGAGUAACACGUGGAUAACCUACCUAUAAGACUGGGAUAACUACGGGAAACCGGAGCUACUACCAGAUAAUAUAUCGUACCGCAUGGUUCAAUAGUUAUUGACGCCUUUGCUGACACUUAUAGCUGGUUCCGCGCUGCAUUAGCUAGUUGGUAAGGUAACGGCCUACCAAGGCUACGAUGCGUAGCCGACCUGAUAGGGUGAUCGGCCACACUGGAACUGAGACACGGUCCAGCAUCCUACGGGAGGCAGCAGUAGGGAAUAUUGCGCAAUGGGCGAAAGCCUGAUAGAGCAACGCCGCGUGGGUGAUGAAGGACUUCGGCUCGUAAAGCUCUGUUAUUAGGGAAGAACAAAUGUGUCACUACCCAUGCACGUCUUGACGGUACCUAAUCAGAAAGCAACGGCUAACUACGUG